This 651-nucleotide ribosomal RNA is filed under the name bacterium HPC973. RNAcentral's name for it is "bacterial SSU rRNA". It matches the Rfam family "Bacterial small subunit ribosomal RNA", at positions 29 to 671 of the family's 1533-position model. The record is from RNAcentral.
UAGAACGCUGGCGGCAGGCCUAGCACAUGCAAGUCGAACGGUGGCACCCAUAGCUUGCUCUCGGGUGACGAGUGGCGGACGGGUGAGUAAUGUCUGGGAAACUGCCUGAUGGAGGGGGAUAACUACUGGAAACGGUAGCUAAUACCGCAUAAUGUCGCAAGACCAAAGAGGGGGACCUUCGGGCCUCUUGCCAUCAGAUGUGCCCAGAUGGGAUUAGCUAGUAGGUGGGGUAACGGCUCACCUAGGCGACGAUCCCUAGCUGGUCUGAGAGGAUGACCAGCCACACUGGAACUGAGACACGGUCCAGACUCCUACGGGAGGCAGCAGUGGGGAAUAUUGCACAAUGGGCGCAAGCCUGAUGCAGGCAUGCCGCGUGUAUGAAGAAGGCCUUCGGGUUGUAAAGUACUUUCAGCGGGGAGGAAGGUGUUGUGGUUAAUAACCACAGCAAUUGACGUUACCCGCAGAAGAAGCACCGGCUAACUCCGUGCCAGCAGCCGCGGUAAUACGGAGGGUGCAAGCGUUAAUCGGAAUUACUGGGCGUAAAGCGCACGCAGGCGGUCUGUCAAGUCGGAUGUGAAAUCCCCGGGCUCAACCUGGGGAACUGCAUUCGAAACUGGCAGGCUGGAGUCUUGUAGAGGGGGUAGAAUUCCA